Long non-coding RNA from Leopardus geoffroyi (Geoffroy's cat), 446 nucleotides. RefSeq lists it as uncharacterized. Lineage: Eukaryota; Metazoa; Chordata; Mammalia; Carnivora; Felidae. The record is from RefSeq and is a predicted model, not a curated record. The transcript has 2 exons.
AUCUGGAAGCCUGCUCCUCUGUUCCAUACGGAGGCAAGCACGCAUCCUCCGGAGGCCCCGCAGGUAUUUGAGGAGCAUCUGAGCCCACGUUCCUAAAACCUAGACCCCCUGGAAAAGGAAGAGACACCAGGAGAGCGUCACACAGACAAGAGGCCACGAGAGGACACAGCCAGGAGCCACUGUCUGCGGGCCGAGAAGAAAGGUCUCAUCUGAAACCACCACCCCUACCCUUGCAAUUCCAGCUUCUAGAACAGUGAGAAAAUAAAUUUCUUCUGCCAAAGCCCCUCAAUCUGUGGCAGUGUAAGCCGACCAAUACAAUAGGCAUACGGGUAUUUAUCGUACUAUCCUUGCCACAUUUUGAGGUUUCCAAUUUUCCCAGCUGAGAAGUUGGGAACAUAACGUACGCUGCCCCCAGGAAUAAAAACUUCUCCAAAAGGGAACCUGAA